UACGUAGGGCGCAAGCGUUAUCCGGAAUUAUUGGGCGUAAAGAGCUCGUAGGCGGUUUGUCGCGUCUGCCGUGAAAGUCCGGGGCUCAACCCCGGGCCUGCAUUCGAUACGGGCAGACUAGAGUUCGGUAGGGGAGUCUGGAAUUCCUGGUGUAGCGGUGAAAUGCGCAGAUAUCAGGAGGAACACCGGUGGCGAAGGCGGGACUCUGGGCCGAUACUGACGCUGAGGAACGAAAGCGUGGGGAGCGAACAGG
RNAcentral lists this ribosomal RNA (253 nucleotides) under uncultured bacterium. RNAcentral describes it as "partial 16S ribosomal RNA". It matches the Rfam family "Bacterial small subunit ribosomal RNA", at positions 524 to 776 of the family's 1533-position model. The record is from RNAcentral.